UACGUAGGGGGCGAGCGUUGUCCGGAUUUAUUGGGCGUAAAGAGCGUGUAGGCGGCUAGGUAGGUCCGUUGUGAAAACUCGAGGCUCAACCUCGAGACGUCGAUGGAAACCAUCUAGCUAGAGUCCGGAAGAGGAGAGUGGAAUUCCUGGUGUAGCGGUGAAAUGCGUAGAUAUCGUAAGGAAGACCAGUGGCGAAGGCGGGUCUCUGGACAGUUCCUGACGCUGAGGCACGAAGGUCAGGGGAGCAAACGGG
This 253-nucleotide ribosomal RNA is filed under the name uncultured bacterium. RNAcentral describes it as "partial 16S ribosomal RNA". It matches the Rfam family "Bacterial small subunit ribosomal RNA", at positions 524 to 776 of the family's 1533-position model. The record is from RNAcentral.